GACGAACGCUGGCGGCGUGCUUAACACAUGCAAGUCGAACGGAAAGGCCCUGCUUUUGUGGGGUGCUCGAGUGGCGAACGGGUGAGUAACACGUGAGUAACCUGCCCUUUACUUUGGGAUAACUUCAGGAAACUGGGGCUAAUACCGGAUAGGAGCUCUUGCUGCAUGGUGGGGGUUGGAAAGUUUGGGCGGUUGGGGAUGGACUCGCGGCUUAUCAGCUCGUUGGUGGGGUAGUGGCUUACCAAGGCAUUGACGGGUAGCCGGCCUGGGAGGGUGGCCGGCCACAUUGCGACUGCGAUACGGCGCAGACUCCUACGGGAGGCAGCAGUGGGGAAUAUUGCACAAUGGGCGGAAGCCUGAUGCAGCAACGCCGCGUGCGGGAUGACGGCCUUCGGGUUGUAAACCGCUUUCGCCUGUGACGAAGCGUGAGUGACGGUAAUGGGUAAAGAAGCACCGGCUAACUACGUG
Molecule: ribosomal RNA, 468 nt
Filed under: uncultured bacterium
Lineage: Bacteria
Description: partial 16S ribosomal RNA
Rfam family: Bacterial small subunit ribosomal RNA
Source: RNAcentral